Molecule: ribosomal RNA, 254 nt
Filed under: uncultured prokaryote
Description: partial 16S ribosomal RNA
Rfam family: Bacterial small subunit ribosomal RNA
Source: RNAcentral
AAUACAGAGGGAGCAAGCGUUGUUCGGAAUUACUGGGCGUAAAGGGCGCGUAGGCGGUCUGCUAAGUUCCGUGUGAAAUCCCUCGGCUCAACUGAGGAACCGCACGGGAAACUGGCAGACUUGAGUUUGGGAGAGGGAAGCGGAAUUCCGGGUGUAGCGGUGAAAUGCGUAGAUAUCCGGAGGAACACCGGUGGCGAAGGCGGCUUCCUGGACCACGACUGACGCUGAGGCGCGAAAGCUAGGGGAGCAAACGG